UACGGAGGAUGCGAGCGUUAUCCGGAUUUAUUGGGUUUAAAGGGUGCGUAGGCGGAGUGUCAAGUCAGCGGUAAAAUUUCGGGGCUCAACCCCGUCGUGCCGUUGAAACUGACGCCCUUGAGUGAGUGAGAAGUAAGCGGAAUGCGUGGUGUAGCGGUGAAAUGCAUAGAUAUCACGCAGAACGCCGAUUGCGAAGGCAGCUUACCGGCGCUCAACUGACGCUGAGGCACGAAGGCCAGGGGAGCGAAAGGG
This 252-nucleotide ribosomal RNA is filed under the name uncultured Bacteroidales bacterium. RNAcentral's name for it is "partial 16S ribosomal RNA". It matches the Rfam family "Bacterial small subunit ribosomal RNA", at positions 524 to 776 of the family's 1533-position model. The record is from RNAcentral. Lineage: Bacteria; Pseudomonadati; Bacteroidota; Bacteroidia; Bacteroidales.